CAAUAGCGUAUAUUUAAGUUGCUGCAGUUAAAAAGCUCGUAGUUGGAUUUCGGGUGGGAAUGGCCGGUCCGCCGUUUCGGUGUGCACUUGCUACGCCCACCUUGCUGCCGGGGACGUGCUCUUGAGUUCACGCUCGGGACACGGAGUCGGCGAGGUUACUUUGAGUAAAUUAGAGUGUUCAAAGCAGGUCUACGCUCUGAAUACAUUAGCAUGGAAUAACACGAUAGGACUCUGGCCUAUCUUGUUGGUCUGUAGGACCGGAGUAAUGAUUAAGAGGGACAGUCGGGGGCAUUCGUAUUUCAUUGUCAGAGGUGAAAUUCUUGGAUUUAUGAAAGACGAACUACUGCGAAAGCAUUUGCCAAGGAUGUUUUCAUUAA
RNAcentral lists this ribosomal RNA (377 nucleotides) under uncultured eukaryote. RNAcentral describes it as "partial 18S ribosomal RNA". It matches the Rfam family "Eukaryotic small subunit ribosomal RNA", at positions 592 to 976 of the family's 1831-position model. The record is from RNAcentral.